This is a long non-coding RNA of Zea mays, 5480 nucleotides long. RefSeq lists it as uncharacterized. NCBI's taxonomy places the organism in Eukaryota, Viridiplantae, Streptophyta, Magnoliopsida, Poales, Poaceae. The transcript is spliced from 5 exons. The record is from RefSeq and is a predicted model, not a curated record.
AUAAAUUCUUGCGUCUGGUUGAAACCGAACCCACCGGCUCAGCCACAUAUUGCAUCGUAUCGUCAUGGGUUGAGCCGUUGAGGUCACUACCGGGAGGCGGGAGGCACGCAGGUCGCCCUACAGGCCUACACAUAUCGUUCUCCCUCUCUUUCACCCAUGACCCAUUUAUAAUCAUUUAUACUCCCAGAUUUGCUUCUCACCUUUUCUGUAUCAGAUCCAGCAAGUGCGUUAGACAUAACCUGGGGGCAGCAGAGGACUAGCCGGUAGCGUCAACAGGCUGGAUGGAGCAAACUUCCUCUUCUACUCCUCAUCUGUUGCCGCUCCAAUUCAUUCCAUGGAUGAUGCCCUCAUUGUGCUCGAUGAAAUGGGCACAUGGUAGAGCGGCGGCUGGCAGCUCCUACUCAUUCCAUGGAUGAUGCCCUCAAUGUGCUCGAUAACAGCCGGCUGCCUUGCUCCACUAUUUUAUGCUCAUUAGUAUGACAAACACUGAAACAGAGCCUGAGGCACACAACAAAACAGGAGCUAGCAGGAGUAAUACUUGUGCAAGGGAAAAUGAGUUGGAUCUGAAUGUUCCUUGCUGCCGGUGCAAGUCCAUCAUGGAAGUCUUCUUAAAUCUUUCCAUUGACAUGAGUUGAUCAAUCAUGAACUGUCAAGCAUCUCGAUUCUGCUGCUCUCGUCUGAGCAACUAAUGGACACACGACAUAUUUGUUCUCUGUACGGUGGAGUUUGCCAGCAAGUUCAGGAUCAGCAUGUGACCUCAGAGGUUGUUGUAUAAGGGGAUUUGGUCCCAUCUUCGCCGGUUUCUUGGACUCACUGCUUAUCUUUGUUGAUCUCCUUGGAGUCCAGGCUUUUCACUGAAAUUUCCAAUUCUUCUCGCUUCUUGGAGGAAGGAAACAAGGGAAACAAGAAUAGGAUACAUGGGCCCUGUUUGUUUUGGCUUUUCGCAGCUUCUAACCACCAAAAGUUACUGCAGACUGCCAAACACUCAGCUUUUCAGUCAGCUUUUAUAAAAUUCGUUUGGUAAAAACCAUUCAAAAUCAACAUAAACAUAUAAUCGGUUGAGUCAUCACAAUAGUAAUAAUCCGUCAUUUUAUAGAUCAUAAGCCCCAUGGACAACUUUAUCUUCCUCCGCACGUAAUCCUAAUGAUAUUCAGAUUCUCUACACAGCCAGAUUCUCCCCACAGCUAGAUUCUCGGAAAAGCUGGUCAGAAAAAAGCUGAACCAAACAGGCACAUGGAUAGCUUCGUGAAGCUAGCGAGGACGGUGGUGGAGAAAACACGCCAGUCAUAGUACAGAUACAAGAACUGCUUUGAGGGGCCGUGGGUGUCAUGUCACCAGCACAGGUGGAUGCUUACAUUGCUUCUGACAUAAAGAAUAAAACAAACAUUGGUAAGUUUUCUCUUCGAGCAGCAGUGGAUGUGGAUGUGUGCAUUCAGAUGUUGGUAAGAAGAUUCUUCGUUUUCCUUUGAAUUCCAAAAGUUCGUGCUAGAAUAUAAGACAAUUUUUAUUCUAGUCACAUAAUAUAAUAAGGCGUGCUCUUUCUAGACAUGUAUAUACCAAAAUAGUAUAGAGAAUUAAAUACAUUUAUUGAGUUAGUUACGCCUUUUAUACUAUAAUGGAGGGAGAGAGAGAGAGAGUAUAUUUUAUGAAAUUUCUUGAACUUAGUGCUGGUUCUGGGAGUAGUUGCUUUAGUGAUACACGUGAACUUACGUCCUGUUUGGAUCCUUGGAAUUGAAUUCCAUUCUAAAAAUAGUAAUUUAAACAAAGAUCAAUUAAGCUAAUAUUGUUUUAUGUGAAAUAUAUUUGUACACUAUUAUUAGCAAUAUUUGUGAGGCCUAGAGACGUCCUGGGAGGCCUAGAGGUGUUUUGCCUCUUGCCGCUAGGCCCCAGGCAGUAAGACCACGUGGUGGCCGUGCCCGACGGGAUGCUGGUCGUGUGCCAUAUGGCCAAGGACCAUGUGACAGAGGAUUUGGUUCAUACUUCCCCAGCGGACUACAAUUUCCUUCUUAUGGUGAUCGCUUCCCUUCGGGACCGAGGAUGUUUGGUGUUUUUCCUAACACUUUUCAGGGGCAAAUGCCGCAGCACUGGUAUUCUUCACAGUUUACUUACCCCAGUGCUGUGCCAUUUGCUCACCCCGGGUGUUACUAUUGAUGCAGGACGGAGGCUUGGAGAACACGUGGCUCAUGGAUACCGGCUGUUCGUGCCACAUGACCGGAAGCUCAAAAUGGUUCUCCAGCCUCGACCCCGUGAUUGGUAAGGAAUACAUCACAUUCGAGGAUAAGUGAAGAGGUAAGGUUGUUUCUCGUGGCACCAUUCGGGUGAACGAGAGCUUUAUUCUCAAGGAUGUUGCUUUGGUCUCGAAUCUGCAUUUCAAUCUACUUUCAGUUUCGCAACUCCUUGAGGAUGACUAUGAAGUGCGCUUUAAAAAGGGCUUGUCUCGAGUUUUGGAUGCCCGUGGGGAUCUUAUUUGCCAUAUUUCCCCUUUUGAUCGAGUUUUCAGUGCUGAUUUUUCACAUUCUUCUGGCCCUUCUCGAUGUUUGUUGGUAGGAUCUUCCUCUUCCCUUUGGAAGUGGCAUAGGAGGCUAGGUCACUUGAGCUUUGAUCUUUUGUGUCGUUUGAGCUCACUUGACCUCAUCUAAGGAUUGACUAAAUUAAAAUUUGAGAAAGAUCUUGUCUGUCACCCUUGUCGUCGUGGCAAAAUGAUUGCCGCUUCCCAUUCCCCGGUCACUAAGGUGAUGACCUCGCAUCCUGGCGAAUUGCUUCAUAUGGACACUGUUGGUCCAGCCAGGGUUUGCUCUUUUAGAGGGAAGUGGUAUGUGCUUGUGGUUGUCGAUGACUUCUCUCGCUACUCUUGGGUGUUCUUUAUGACGGCGAAGGAUGAGGCUUUUACUCAUGCUCGAGAUUUGAUUCUUCGGUUGUAAAAUGAGUUUCCUAAAAAUGCCAUGAGAGCUAUACGCAGUGACAAUGGCUCAAAAUUCAAAAACACUCAAUUUGCAACCUUUUGUGCUUCUUUCGGACUUGAGCAUCAGUUUCCUCUCCGUAUGUGCCCCAGCAAAAUGGUAUUGUUGAACGCAAAAAUCGGACCCUUGUUGAGAUGGCCAGGACGAUGCUUGAUGAGCAUAGGACUCCAAGGCGUUUUUGGGUCGAAGCGAUCAACACUGCUUGCCAUGUGUCCAAUCACAUCUUUCUUUGGGCUCUGAACAAAACUUCUUAUGGGCUGCGAUUUGGACGGCCACCCAAGGUCAGUCAUUUCAGGGUAUUUGGCUGCAGAUGCUUUGUGCUAAGAUGUCAUGGGCAUCAUAGGGAGCGAGAGGCAACAGCCAGGCUGGGAUAAGGCUAGAGAAUAAGAUUGAGAUGAGCUAGGAUAAGGCUAGAGAAUAAGAUUGAGAUGAGAGAAUUGUGGAGAGUUGGUUAGCAGUAGAUAAGUCCAAGAAAGUAGGAGUUAGUUGAGAGUUUGUAGGAGAAGUUGGUUAGCCAUAGGGCUAUUUAUAAGCCGCAUGGCAGCAGGGAAUAAAUCAAGCAAGAUCAUUAUCAAACCAAUCUCUCUCUCUCUUGCAAUGACCCUCUCAAGCGUCUAGGGCUGCUACCCUAGAACCAAGCCUGCGGCAGAGGGGUAUAACCUCGCCGGAGAAGACAACCCCAUGGACCGAAGGUCCAUGACACCUGGUAUCAGCUCCAGGUUAUCCUCACCACCACCAGCCGCCCAUCCCUCACCACCACCAGCCGCCGCACCAUCUGCUGCCGCAACGCCCUCCCACCCACCCUCUCCAACUCUAGAUGCAUUCACUCGGCUCGAAGAGAAGUGGGACCAAUUCGUUGUGAUGUUCCACCGCUACAAGGAGAAGACAGAGAAGGAACUCCAAGCAGCGGUGCGGCUUCAGGCGGCAGCGCAAGGGUUCCUGGCACGCCGCCAGGUACAGUCCCUUCGUGGGGAGAAGCACCUUGCUGUGGCCUCCAGGGCCACCCCAUGGCCGUCAUCACAUGAGCAGGUCGUGGUGCGCCUGCAAGCCGCAGUGCGCGGCUUCCUUGUUAGGCGGGCGGUGCGGAAGCUGCACUUGUUGAUCAGCUCAUCGCUGCACCAACUCGCACCUGCGCGCCCAACCACCAGGUCUCGUCUAUACUUUUUGAACCCACUGCAGAAGUCGAGAUCUGGGUAUGCAGCCCCCCUGCACGGCCAAAGAGGGUCGUCUCCUUCAUUCGGGCAACUGCCUUGGUGCUGGACAGACCCAACAUAAGAACGGGCUGGUUCCUCCUUCACCUGUCAUCCAACGUGAAGUCCGCAGUUCAGCUCUUUCCUUGGGAUCCAGGAGGACAGGAGGACAUAGCUGGAGUUCAAAUUUAUAUUUUAGUUCCACAAUUAUUUUGUAUUUUCGUCUUAAAUAAUAAAGGUAAGCCGAGAUGUAAAAGGCUUAACCUUAAGUCGUGUCAGGUAAGUCUAUGGCAGCUCGAGGACGAGCUGGUCCUCAAGGGAGGGGGAGAUGUCAUGGGCAUCAUAGGGAGCGAGAGGCAACAGCCAGGCUGGGAUAAGGCUAGAGAAUAAGAUUGAGAUGAGCUAGGAUAAGGCUAGAGAAUAAGAUUGAGAUGAGAGAAUUGUGGAGAGUUGGUUAGCAGUAGAUAAGUCCAAGAAAGUAGGAGUUAGUUGAGAGUUUGUAGGAGAAGUUGGUUAGCCAUAGGGCUAUUUAUAAGCCGCAUGGCAGCAGAGAAUAAAUCAAGCAAGAUCAUUAUCAAACCAAUCUCUCUCUCUCUCUUGCAAUGACCCUCUCAAGCGUCUAGGGCUGCUACCCUAGAACCAAGCCUGCGGCAGAGGGGUAUAACCUCGCCGGAGAAGACAACCCCAUGGACCGAAGGUCCAUGACAUAAAACAAGGUAAUCUGGACAAGUUUGAGUCCCGGUCUUCUGAUGGGGUUUUUCUGGGUUAUGCAUUACAUUAUCAUGCUUAUCGUGUUCUUAACCUAGAGAAUAACUGCAUUAUGGAGACUUGUGAGGUUACAUUCGAUGAGACUGCACCUUGUCCAUCCCCUGUCUUUGAGCCUGUAGGUCCAGAUCAGAUGGGAUAGACCAUCUUUGUGGAGGAGGAGCACGACGACGCUGAUUGGGUUGCUCUCGAGCCAACUCCACCGGCCGCCCCAGUCGAGCCUGCUUCCACUACUACGGCUGAUGGACCCGACCCCACUCCUUCCACCACUUGGGGUCCGCUCGAGCCAGCUCCUGCUGAGACUGGAGGAGUUGAAGCUGCUGUUGAGGGGGAGGCCACUUCCUCAAGGGAGGCUCCACAACAUAUUCAACGCUGUCACCCACCUCAGCAGAUGAUCGGGGAGUUUCACGAGCGAGUCACUCACUCUAGGUCACAACACAUUUCUCAUUUUGCUCACUCAGCUUUUGUUGCUACUUUUGAGCCCUGAGAUGUUGGGCAUGCUUUAUCUGAUCCUAACUGGGUUAAUGCUAUGCAUGAGGAGCUUGAAAAUUUUGAAAGAAAUCAA